Molecule: ribosomal RNA, 513 nt
Filed under: uncultured bacterium
Lineage: Bacteria
Description: partial 16S ribosomal RNA
Rfam family: Bacterial small subunit ribosomal RNA
Source: RNAcentral
AACGAACGCUGCCGGCAUGCCAAAUACAUGCAAGAUGACCGAACAGAUGAAGUGCUUGCGCUUCUGAUGCUAGCGGCGAACGGGUGAGUAACAGGUAAGGAAUCUACCUAUAGGCGGGGGAUAACAUUCGGAAACGGGUGAUAAUACCGCAUAAUAUCUUCUUCCGCAUGGAAGAAGAUUGAAAGACGGCUCUGCUGUCACUUAUAGAUGACCUUGCGGUGCAUUAGUUAGUUGGUGGGGUAACGGCCUACCAAGACGAUGAUGCAUAGCCGACCUGAGAGGGUGAUCGGCCACAUUGGGACUGAGAAACGGCCCAAACUCCUACGGGAGGAAGCAGUAGGGAAUCUUCCGCAAUGGGCGAAAGCCUGACGGAGCAAUGCCGCGUGAGUGAAGAAGGCCUUCGGGUCGUAAAACUCUGUUAUAAGAGAAGAACAAAUUGUAGAGUAACUGCUACAGUCUUGACGGUAUCUUAUCAGAAAGCCACGGCUAACUACGUGCCAGCCGCCGCGGUAA